GACGGAGGAUGCAAGUGUUAUCCGGAAUCACUGGGCGUAAAGCGUCUGUAGGUGGUUUAAUAAGUCAACUGUUAAAUCUUGAGGCUCAACCUCAAAAUCGCAGUCGAAACUAUUAGGCUAGAGUAUAGUAGGGGUAAAGGGAAUUUCCAGUGGAGCGGUGAAAUGCGUAGAGAUUGGAAAGAACACCGAUGGCGAAGGCAGCUCGUUACACGAAUAUUGACUCUGAGGCACGAAAGCGUGGGGAUCAAACAGG
This 253-nucleotide ribosomal RNA is filed under the name uncultured bacterium. RNAcentral's name for it is "partial 16S ribosomal RNA". It matches the Rfam family "Bacterial small subunit ribosomal RNA", at positions 524 to 776 of the family's 1533-position model. The record is from RNAcentral.